GAUUUUAAAAUUAGGUUGUAAGGGGAGAAUAUGUUGGCAAAUCCACGUGUAAUAAUUUCACUACAGCGCUGGGAGCCGGUCAGAGAGUUUUAUCCUACUCAUUCUACAUUCCUCCGCUUUCCUCUAAAGGAAAACCUUUGGAAAAUAAAGCCUCUGAGCUGCGAUACACUCAACUUAUAGCAGAUAUUUUAAUGCGGGCACAGCUGUACUAUCCUGACUGGAGAAUUCGUAUUUAUCAUAAUAUUACAGAAAAUGAAUUUGAGGCAAGAACAUAUUUUUUAACUUCAACAGUGUAUUUUUGGCAGCAAUAUAGAUGUAGUUCAACUAUCUGUAAAUGGUUCAACCACUUUUAACAUUUCAUUAAACCUGACCUCAUGCAGGAAAUAUUUAUGAAUUUAAAGGGACUGUAAGCGU
Long non-coding RNA from Eurytemora carolleeae, 414 nucleotides. RefSeq lists it as uncharacterized. The transcript is spliced from 4 exons. The record is from RefSeq and is a predicted model, not a curated record. NCBI's taxonomy places the organism in Eukaryota, Metazoa, Arthropoda, Copepoda, Calanoida, Temoridae.